AGUGUUCUAGGUUGAGCGUGUGCGGGAUCGCAUCUUUGAACCGAUACGCAAUAGCGAGGGAUUGGCAGUGAGUUUGUUUGUGUGCAAACCCACCUGAUGGGGAGCCUGAUGGCAAGCCCGCCGAGCCCACUUGAACCUCAGGGUUCGCAAAGCACCCGUAGCGCCAACCUGGUUUAAUG
This 179-nucleotide non-coding RNA is filed under the name Gammaproteobacteria bacterium RIFCSPHIGHO2_12_FULL_45_9. Its description in RNAcentral is "6S RNA". It matches the Rfam family "6S / SsrS RNA". From Rfam's summary of the family: E. coli 6S RNA was the first non coding RNA to be sequenced, but its function was unknown until recently. It consists of 184 nucleotides that fold into an extended hairpin structure with a large single-stranded internal bulge. The 6S RNA specifically associates with RNA polymerase holoenzyme containing the sigma70 specificity factor. The record is from RNAcentral. Lineage: Bacteria; Pseudomonadati; Pseudomonadota; Gammaproteobacteria.